UACGUAGGGUGCAAGCGUUGUCCGGAAUUAUUGGGCGUAAAGAGCUCGUAGGCGGUUCGUCGCGUGGGCGGUGAAAACCCGGAGCUCAACUCCGGGCCUGCAGUCGAUACGGGCGGACUUGAGUGUUGCAGGGGAGACUGGAAUUCCUGGUGUAGCGGUGAAAUGCGCAGAUAUCAGGAGGAACACCGGUGGCGAAGGCGGUUCUCUGGGCAUUACCUGACGCUGAGGAGCGAAAGUGUGGGGAGCGAACAGG
This 253-nucleotide ribosomal RNA is filed under the name uncultured bacterium. Its description in RNAcentral is "partial 16S ribosomal RNA". It matches the Rfam family "Bacterial small subunit ribosomal RNA", at positions 524 to 776 of the family's 1533-position model. The record is from RNAcentral.